RNAcentral lists this ribosomal RNA (496 nucleotides) under uncultured Glomeromycotina. RNAcentral's name for it is "partial small subunit ribosomal RNA". It matches the Rfam family "Eukaryotic small subunit ribosomal RNA", at positions 591 to 1091 of the family's 1831-position model. The record is from RNAcentral. Lineage: Eukaryota; Fungi; Glomeromycota.
CCUAUAGCGUAUAUUAAAGUUGUUGCAGUUAAAAAGCUCGUAGUUGAAUUUCAGGCCUGGCUGGACGGUCCGCCCUUCGGGUGAGUACUGUCUGUGGUCGGGUCCUACCUUCUGGCGAAGCGUCAUGGCCUUAACCGGCCGUGGCGGGGAACCAGGACUUUUACUGUGAAAAAAUUAGAGUGUUCAAAGCAGGCAAUCGCUUGGAUACAUUAGCAUGGAAUAAUGGAAUAGGACAAUGGUUCUAUUUGUUGGUUUCUAGGACCGUUGUAAUGAUUAAUAGGGAUAGUUGGGGGCAUUAGUAUUCAAUUGUCAGAGGUGAAAUUCUUGGAUUUAUUGAAGACUAACUACUGCGAAAGCAUUUGCCAAGGAUGUUUUCAUUAAUCAAGAACGAAAGUUAGGGGAUCGAAGACGAUCAGAUACCGUCGUAGUCUUAACCAUAAACUAUGCCGACUAGGAAUCGGGCGAUGUUGAAAAAAUGACGCGCUCGGCACCUCAU